Long non-coding RNA from Apis mellifera (honey bee), 392 nucleotides. RefSeq lists it as uncharacterized. The transcript is spliced from 3 exons. Lineage: Eukaryota; Metazoa; Arthropoda; Insecta; Hymenoptera; Apidae. The record is from RefSeq and is a predicted model, not a curated record.
GAAAUGAAUCAGUGCGCAUCAUGGUGCGCAUGACGUCAGUCUACAGUUGAAAAUUGUGGAGACAGGUCACGUUCCAUCGGUUGAGAAGUUUUUAUGCCAUUAUUUGAUCCAAGCAUCGAAGGCGGGAAAUGUAAUAAUUAAUACGCCAUAACGAUUAAAAGAUAAUUCGACGAUUGUCAUCAUAAAUAUGAUAAGUAGCUGAAAUUAUUUUAAGUAAGAAAAAGAAUCUUCAAUAUGAAUGCCAUAAUAACAAGUUCUAUACAAGAGAAGUAAGAGUUAAUUUUUAAUUUUUAAAGAAAGAUGUAUGUAAGUAUUUUCCUUUUAUUAAAUUAUUAUUUGUAUGGUAUGUGUAUAGUUUUUGAUUCAUUAUUACUAUAUUGAAAGUAUGAAGA